RNAcentral lists this ribosomal RNA (449 nucleotides) under uncultured bacterium. Its description in RNAcentral is "partial 16S ribosomal RNA". It matches the Rfam family "Bacterial small subunit ribosomal RNA", at positions 29 to 523 of the family's 1533-position model. The record is from RNAcentral.
AGCGAACGCUGGCGGCAGGCCUAACACAUGCAAGUCGAACGCCGUAGCAAUACGGAGUGGCAGACGGGUGAGUAACACGUGGGGAUCUGCCCGAUGGUACGGAAUAAUUCCGGGAAACUGGGACUAAUACCGUAUGAGCCCGCAAGGGGAAAGAUUUAUCGCCAUCGGAUGAACCCGCGUCAGAUUAGCUAGUUGGCGGGGUAAAGGCCCACCAAGGCGACGAUCUGUAGCUGGUCUGAGAGGAUGAUCAGCCACACUGGGACUGAGACACGGCCCAGACUCCUACGGGAGGCAGCAGUGGGGAAUAUUGGACAAUGGGCGCAAGCCUGAUCCAGCCAUGCCGCGUGAGUGAUGAAGGCCUUAGGGUUGUAAAGCUCUUUCGCCGACGAAGAUAAUGACGGUAGUCGGAGAAGAAGCCCCGGCUAACUUCGUGCCAGCAGCCGCCGUAA